CUCAGCAGAUUAAGAACCCGACAUAGCAUCCGUGAGGAUGCAGGUUCGAUCCCUCCUCGCCUGGCUCAGUGGGUUGAGCAUCCAGCAUUUCUGUGGCUCUGGUGUAGGCCUGUACCUGCAGCUCCAGCUCUAAUUCAACCCCUAGCCUGGGAACUUCCAUAUGCUGAGAUGUGGUCCUAAAAAAAAAAAGAAAAGAAAAAAGAAAAAGCAGAUUCCUCAAGCAACUUUCCCAUUUCCUUUGCACUAGGAAGAAAAUGGAUGUGUCUUAAGUAGACGGAGCCAGGGCUCAGGAUUUUGUUGGAUGCCAGCCUUUGCCCAUCAGGGCUCCCUUCUGUUUGAGCUGAUGCAAAUUCCAGCCUUUAAAUAGAAAUUCUAAAUUAUUGACUAUCACGGUGAUGGAUUCUCAGACUGUCUGCUGACCACCAAAUUGCUCCGAUUGUCUUCCGAGCGAAGAUUCCAUAAGUCGUUAGCAUGAGCCCACCAAUAUCCGUCAUGUUAACGAUGCGGCUGCAAUCACGCCUUGACACUCAUUACCUUUCCCGACUAAUUCUCAAUGUGAAAUUCCGCUAGUGAUGGAGAUCCACCGCAAAAGGCCCCGUUUUCUCCGAGCAUCCUGUAAUCCUACGGCACCUCCAUGCCCACAUGGCCAUCGUUAACAUUGCACCCCACCCGGCCCCCUCUCCUGUGUUGGCAGCCUGUACAAAGAGAACUCUUUAUCCCAGGAUCCUUGGCAUAAACAUAAUUUUAUCUAGAGAGGUCCCUGAGAGUGAGUUUCCAGAGAAACAGAGUCUGCAUGGAGCGAUUUCUAACUGCAGAGGCAAUCGCAAGGAUGUUUAACCCACAGUUCUUCUGGUCGGGGGAGAGGAGAGCAGGGGGCUUGCGGGAUGAAAGCGCUGUGUUUGGCUCUUUCACACCUGUUACUGGGUAUUAUCCUCCUGUGGGACAGCUGCUGAAAGCCCAUGUCACAGAUGAAGGAUCUGGAGCCGGGAGAUUUUAAGGAGCAGCUGGCAAGCAGAGAACAGCAGAGACUGCGAUCACGGUGGGCAAUGGGCACAUGGGCUCUCAAUGACCCCCGCCUCCUAGUAUAAUGCCCUUGUGUGUGGGUGGGACCCAGUGCCACUUUGCUCUGAGCAGAAUGUGGAAAUUGUAUGGUAGUUCCAUGUUCGGUUUUCUGAGGAACUUCCAUACUGUUUUCCAUAGUGGUUGUACCAGUUUACAUUCCCACUACAGUGUGAAGUUUCUCCACACCCUCUAUAGCAUUUGCUAUUUGGAGACUUAUUAAUGAUGGCCAUUCCGACCGGUGUGAGGUGGUACCUCAUUGCAGUUUUGAUUUGCAUUUCUCUAAUAAUUAGUAAUGUUGAGCUUUUUUUCAUGUGCCUGUUGGCCAUCCAGAUGUCUUCUUUGGAGAAAUGUCUAUUUAGGUCUUCUGCCCAUUUUUCGAUUGAGUCGUUUGUCUGUUUUGUGUUGAGUGUGUGAGCUGUUUGUAUAUUUUGGAGAUUAAGCCCUGGUCAGUAGCAUCAUUUUAAGGAGCAGCUUGUGAACAAUAGAUUUGGAGGGUAGAGGGCACCCUCCAGGUUGGUUCUUGAGGAUCCCCACCUGCUAGCAUCUUGAGGAUGCCCUCCCCUUGAGUGGGGGUGGGGCUCAGUGACACGUGCAGUGAACAGAAGCUCAUUUCAGAGAUUCAGUUAUGAAGCGUCUGGCUUCUCCUUGCUCACUUUCCCUCCCUCUCUCUCUUGGUCACUCCUUUCAAUGACAUCAGCUGCCAGGCUGUAAGUGGCUCUAAGAAGAGGUCCAUGUGAUGAGGACCGGAGGAGAGCCCCUGGCCCAUAGCCCUCAAGAAAACGAGUCCUGCCAAGAGCCACAUGAGUGACCUUGAAAGAGCACCUGCCCCCAGUGGAGCCUUCAGAUGAGACCACAGCCCCAGCUGGCAUCUUGAUUCCAGCCUGUGACAGAUCCCGAGCCAGACAACCCAUCUAAGCCAUGCCCAGAUUCUGGACCCAGAGAGACUAUGAAUUCCUAAAUGUGUGUGAGUUUAUGCCUCUGGGUUUGGGAAUAAUUUGGUACCCAGCAAUAGAUAACAAAUACAAAGAUCAAACAUAGGUUAGAGUAACAUCAAAGGCCUGGUUUGUUGGCUUCUCUCUGUGUGUUUUUUAAAUCACAGAAGUAAUAUUACAUUCAUAUCAAUACAGUCUUCUGUAUUAAUUCUUUGUUUAGAAUUCACACCAAAAAAUGUAUAAAACUAAAAUCAGAAGCUCCUCUUCACCCUUCUCCCUCCUCCUCACCAUCUACUUCCUUCACGGAGGAACCACGGCUAACAGUUUCUGUAUCCUACCUGAGCUUUCCUGUCUAUUUACAUACGAGUACAUAAUUUUAGUACAUCAUAAAUGGGUCUAUAAUAUCUAUCAUAUCUCUUAUAUAGAUAUUAAUACAUAACUAUAAUGUCAUGAGUCUCCCAUACGUACUUCGCUGUGAUUUGCUUUCUUCACUUGAUAGUAUAUCCUGGACCACUUUCCACGCUGCUACAUAGAGCUCUCCCUCAUUCUUUGCAAGUUCACCUCCAUGAGUUUUCCACCCAUCCCUCAGCACUCUGCCAAGCUAGUUCAGCAUCUUCUGAUUUUCCUCCAAGCCUCGAGGAGCCAUUCCAGCAGCUUAGGAGGAGAGUUUCUGGGUGUCCUUGCCAGGGUGUUAAGUCCUGAGUCUUGGGAGUUGCCCCAUGUGAAAAAUUCCCCCUUAUUCAGCAUGGCAUUGCACUCUCCUGGCCCAGCACCCUCCUGGUCUGUUCCUGGAUGUGUUCUCCUGGGUUUAUCUGGUGCCUGUUAACCAGAUGCUGCAGCACCUGGUGAGUCCCCACCCCCGCCCCCCACCCCACAGGCAGGUCAGCACUUACCCAGCCAACCCCUGAGCCCCCGCCUUUGUUAGUGGCCUAGAAGCCACAAGGGGAGAUGGGCUGUACUGACAAGGGAAAGCCUUGUCUCCCUAGGCAUUUGAAUCAGGAGCGGCCCCUUUGUGGUCUCGGGGCAAGGGGAGGCAAGGGGGAGGGUACGCUGGCCGGGAUGCUUCAGGGCCUCAUCCAGGAUGAAGGGCUGGGUCUCUGAGUCUCAUUCCUUCCUUCUCAUGGCUCUGACUUUAACACAAGAGACUUGCUGGGGCCAGGAAUCUGUAUCGUCCGUGAGUCUGCUUAUCCACCGCCAAAUUCUUGGCCCAAUUCUCAGCACACUGUACCCCUGGCUUCGGGGCUGAGGAUAGAUAACACUAACCUGAAGGACACCGGGCUUUUCCACCAGGCUCUGGGCUGCAGGUGGCCGGCCUGAGCCUGACACUUUCCUCCGUCCAGGUUUGAUGGCCACAAAGCUGGGGACACAAUGAAUUCUGGCCCUUCUGCCCAUCCACAUACACCUCUCUCCUGUAGGGUGAGGAUUUGCUGGUCUCCUCGGAGUCUGGCCUUCUCUGGGUUUCACUAGCAGGCAGUCAUUCUCUUGAAAGGUGGUACAUGUCACAAGCACACACACUCCACCUGCAGCCAGGUGGGUUGGCGAGCCAGUCAUCCUGUCCUCAAGCCUGCUGAGUGAGUGCAUCACUAUCUGCUCCCUGGUCUCUGCCACUCUAGGUUUAAGGGCGUGCACUGUAGGAAUUCUAUUCCGGGCCUCAAUCCCAUGCAUCAGCGCAUCCUUCCCAAGGAGCUCUGUACUAGGGGGUCUAAGGUGCUUGCCCAGACGCCAAGAAGAUCAAUACUCAUUUCUCAGUUGGCAAUCAGAGUCCUUGCCAAUGCGUUCUCCCAGGAAUGGUGUCUUCGGCAGGAACCUGAGGUAGUGAGUGGUAGGAUUCAGACCCAACACCUCUCUCACAUUCUGCAAGUCCACUAUGAGCAUCAGGGGUAAUGCUCAAUGCAUGGCCAUCACUGCAGCAAGGACCUCUGUUACUGCUGUCUCUUCCACUCUUCCAGAGGUAUUUGUGGAAUUUAAUGGAUAAGUGACAAUUGCGGCCACAAGAGUGUUUCCUGAUUUGGAGCUUGUUGGGGCCAUUUAAUUAAUUUGCAGGGCUAGAGGAGGAGGAAGGGACAUUAGGCUUUGCCUUGCAUCAAGAGGGAAGGGGGAAGUUCCCAUUCUCAGUGAUAAUGAACCUGACUAGCAGCCAUGAGGAUGUGGGUUUCUGGCCUCGUUCAGUGGGUUAAGGAUCCAGCGUUGCCAUGAGCUAUGGUGUAGGCACAGAAGUGGCUCGGAUCAGCCCGCGGAUUGCUGGCAUAUUCCCUACUUUAGUGAAGGGAUUGCCAGCUUGGGGUGGGGGGUGAUUUCUCUGUGCACAGGGUACCCAGACAUUUGCCAAAAGCAUUCCGGGGUGUCAUGGAGGGUGUUUAUAGAUAAGCCUCACUUGGAAUUUGUAGACUGAGUAAAGCAGAUUGCCCUUCCCAUGUGGGUGGGCCUCGCCCAAUAAGCUGAAGUCCUGAUUAGAGCAAAACAGCCGAGUAAGAGAACUUCUCCUGCUUGACUGCCUCCAAGCCGGGACAGUGACGUGUUCUUUCUUGCCAUCACACUGCAAUUGAAACCUCAGCUUUUCCUGGCUCUUGGGCCUACCCGCCUUCAGACGAGAGCCACACUGUCAGCUUUCCUGGGUCCCCAGCUGAUUAGCUGCCUAUCUUAGGACUUGUCAGUCUCCAUAAUCCUGUGAGCCGAUUCCUCAAAUACCUGCAUAAAUAUGUAUAUAAUGCACAUGUACCCCAUACACGCACACACGCAAUCUCUCUUGUUUCUGUUUCUCUGGAGAACCUCAUUAAUACGAACCCCAUUCGCAUGGGGAGAAACUGACACCUAGAAAAGGAGUCCCCAGACCCAGGUGUCCUGACCCGCUUGCCAGUUGGACUUGCUUCCCUGGCCGUUUAUUCCAGAGUGAACUCAGAACAACAGGUGUUCUGGCCUCUGGUCCAAUACUUAUGAAGGGGUCCCAAGUGAGCCAAAUCUUGGCACCUGAAUUUCCUUCUCUUCAACAUGAAGGUGAAAAUCUUUCCUGCCUCAGAGAUGUAGCCAGGACUGGUCACAGGGCUCAUCCCUGAAAUGACCUUCGGUCACACGUAGGAACUCAAAGAAAUGUUAGCUUUCAUUGGCGUUCCCAUAGUGGCUCAGCAGUAAUGAACCUGAUUAGUAUCCAUGAAGAUAUGGGUUCAAUCCCCAGCCUCGCUCAGUGAGCUAAGGAUCCGGCAUUGCCAUGAGCUGUGGUGUUACAGAUGCGGCUCGGAUCCCGCGUGGCUGUGGCUGUGGUGUAGGCCAGCAGCUGCAUCUCCCAAUUUGACCCCCAGCCUGGAAACUUUCAUAUGCCAUGGGUGUGGCCCUAAAAAGAAAAAAACAGUUAGGCUUUAUUUAAGGAUUGAUUUAAGGACUGAUGUAAAUUACCACAGAGAACUUCAAAAAUACUACCAGGAACCAUGUUUUUAAUCUGUCGGACCUUCUAACCCACCAGUACAACUAGUCUCACUGCCCCCCACCCCCCCCCCCACCAAAUCCAUACAAUUUCCUGAAAGUUUCAAGGCUGGCGAUUCCCUUGCUCAGAGCAUCAAUGGUCAGCCAUGAAAACCCAUGGAGCAUCAGUGGUCAUCCCAACUCUUCCACCCACGUCAGUGGCCUGGAACCUGAUCAUAUGAUUUGCUAGCAAGGACCAUACAGUAGGAGAGGCUGGGCAAAAGCAUCUGUUUAAUCCCUGCUCUCCAAGGGGUUGUUCUUCUACUCCAGCCCCUUCAGUCCAAGAAUAAAUCACAAGCUGCCAUAAUCAGCUUCCGUUCAUCAAGAGACUCAGCCGGCAACAGGUGCCAGCUCCAAGUCCAGCCUCUCUGCUGUCCUGCAGUCUCUCACAUCUGGGAAUCAGCAGGUCAGUUUGAAUUGUUCUUGAGGUUGUUCCUGGUAGCAAACCACCUCCCUCCCACCCUCGGAGUCCAAACGUCUUUAGAUUUGCCUCCAUUAAAGUCCCAAAGGGGGGUCGUGGCUCAGCAAUAACGAACCCGACUAAUACCCAUGAGGAUGGCAGGUUCAAUCCCUGGCCUCGCUCAGUGGGUUAAGCAUCUGGCGUUGCUGUGGCUGUGGUAUAGGCUGGCAGCUGAAGCUCAGAUUCAACCCCUAGCCUGGGAAUUUCCAUAUGCUGCAGGUACAGCCCUGAAAAAG
This 6146-nucleotide long non-coding RNA is filed under the name Sus scrofa (pig). Its description in RNAcentral is "lncRNA (ENSSSCG00040039444.1)". Lineage: Eukaryota; Metazoa; Chordata; Mammalia; Artiodactyla; Suidae. The record is from RNAcentral.